ACUUAAAUUGAAGAGUUUGAUCAUGGCUCAGAUUGAACGCUGGCGGCAGGCCUAACACAUGCAAGUCGAACGGUAGCACAGAGAGCUUGCUCUCGGGUGACGAGUGGCGGACGGGUGAGUAAUGUCUGGGAAACUGCCUGAUGGAGGGGGAUAACUACUGGAAACGGUGGCUAAUACCGCAUAACGUCGCAAGACCAAAGAGGGGGACCUUCGGGCCUCUUGCCAUCAGAUGUGCCCAGAUGGGAUUAGCUUGUUGGUGAGGUAACGGCUCACCAAGGCGACGAUCCCUAGCUGGUCUGAGAGGAUGACCAGCCACACUGGAACUGAGACACGGUCCAGACUCCUACGGGAGGCAGCAGUGGGGAAUAUUGCACAAUGGGCGCAAGCCUGAUGCAGCCAUGCCGCGUGUAUGAAGAAGGCCUUCGGGUUGUAAAGUACUUUCAGCGGGGAGGAAGGUGUUGUGGUUAAUAACCGCAGCAAUUGACGUUACCCGCAGAAGAAGCACCGGCUAACUCCGUGCCAGCAGCCGCGGUAAUACGGAGGGUGCAAGCGUUAAUCGGAAUUACUGGGCGUAAAGCGCACGCAGGCGGUCUGUCAAGUCGGAUGUGAAAUCCCCGGGCUCAACCUGGGAACUGCAUU
Molecule: ribosomal RNA, 639 nt
Filed under: Salmonella enterica subsp. enterica serovar Kentucky
Lineage: Bacteria; Pseudomonadati; Pseudomonadota; Gammaproteobacteria; Enterobacterales; Enterobacteriaceae
Description: bacterial SSU rRNA
Rfam family: Bacterial small subunit ribosomal RNA
Source: RNAcentral